CCUACGGGGGGCAGCAGUGAGGAAUAUUGGUCAAUGGGCGCGAGCCUGAACCAGCCAAGUAGCGUGAAGGAUGACUGCCCUACGGGUUGUAAACUUCUUUUAUAAAGGAAUAAAGUGAGGCACGUGUGCCUUUUUGUAUGUACUUUAUGAAUAAGGAUCGGCUAACUCCGUGCCAGCAGCCGCGGUAAUACGGAGGAUCCGAGCGUUAUCCGGAUUUAUUGGGUUUAAAGGGAGCGUAGAUGGGUUGUUAAGUCAGUUGUGAAAGUUUGCGGCUCAACCGUAAAAUUGCAAUUGAUACUGGCAGC
This 305-nucleotide ribosomal RNA is filed under the name uncultured bacterium. Its description in RNAcentral is "bacterial SSU rRNA". It matches the Rfam family "Bacterial small subunit ribosomal RNA", at positions 338 to 640 of the family's 1533-position model. The record is from RNAcentral.